RNAcentral lists this ribosomal RNA (1379 nucleotides) under uncultured bacterium. RNAcentral describes it as "16S ribosomal RNA". It matches the Rfam family "Bacterial small subunit ribosomal RNA". The record is from RNAcentral.
UUCGCCCUUAGAGUUUGAUCCUGGCUCAGGACGAACGCUGGCGGCGCGCCUAACACAUGCAAGUCGAACGAGCGAGAGAGAGCUUGCUUUCUCGAGCGAGUGGCGAACGGGUGAGUAACGCGUGAGGAACCUGCCUCAAAGAGGGGGACAACAGUUGGAAACGACUGCUAAUACCGCAUAAGCCCGCGGGUCGGCAUCGACCAGAGGGAAAAGGAGCAAUCCGCUUUGAGAUGGCCUCGCGUCCGAUUAGCUAGUUGGUGAGGUAACGGCCCACCAAGGCGACGAUCGGUAGCCGGACUGAGAGGUUGAACGGCCACAUUGGGACUGAGACACGGCCCAGACUCCUACGGGAGGCAGCAGUGGGGAAUAUUGCACAAUGGGGGAAACCCUGAUGCAGCGACGCCGCGUGGAGGAAGAAGGUCUUCGGAUUGUAAACUCCUGCUGUUGAGGAAGAUAAUGACGGUACUCAACAAGGAAGUGACGGCUAACUACGUGCCAGCAGCCGCGGUAAAACGUAGGUCACAAGCGUUGUCCGGAAUUACUGGGUGUAAAGGGAGCGCAGGCGGGAAGACAAGUUGGAAGUGAAAUCCAUGGGCUCAACCCAUGAACUGCUUUCAAAACUGUUUUUCUUGAGUAGUGCAGAGGUAGGCGGAAUUCCCGGUGUAGCGGUGGAAUGCGUAGAUAUCGGGAGGAACACCAGUGGCGAAGGCGGCCUACUGGGCACCAACUGACGCUGAGGCUCGAAAGUGUGGGUAGCAAACAGGAUUAGAUACCCUGGUAGUCCACACCGUAAACGAUGAUUACUAGGUGUUGGAGGGUUGACCCCUUCAGUGCCGCAGUUAACACAAUAAGUAAUCCACCUGGGGAGUACGACCGCAAGGUUGAAACUCAAAGGAAUUGACGGGGGCCCGCACAAGCAGUGGAGUAUGUGGUUUAAUUCGACGCAACGCGAAGAACCUUACCAAGUCUUGACAUCCCUUGACGAUGCUGGAAACAGUAUUUCUCUUCGGAGCAAGGAGACAGGUGGUGCAUGGUUGUCGUCAGCUCGUGUCGUGAGAUGUUGGGUUAAGUCCCGCAACGAGCGCAACCCUUAUGGUCAGUUACUACGCAAGAGGACUCUGGCCAGACUGCCGUUGACAAAACGGAGGAAGGUGGGGAUGACGUCAAAUCAUCAUGCCCUUUAUGACUUGGGCUACACACGUACUACAAUGGCGUUAAACAAAGAGAAGCAAGACCGCGAGGUGGAGCAAAACUCAGAAACAACGUCCCAGUUCGGACUGCAGGCUGCAACUCGCUUGCACGAAGUCGGAAUUGCUAGUAAUCGUGGAUCAGCAUGCUACGGUGGAUACGUUCCCGGGCCUUGUACACACCGCCCGUCA